Molecule: ribosomal RNA, 499 nt
Filed under: uncultured bacterium
Lineage: Bacteria
Description: partial 16S ribosomal RNA
Rfam family: Bacterial small subunit ribosomal RNA
Source: RNAcentral
GACGAACGCUGGCGGCGUGCCUAAUACAUGCAAGUCGAGCGAAGUUUUUCUGGUGCUUGCACUAGAAAAACUUAGCAGCGAACGGGUGAGUAACACGUAAAGAACCUGCCUCAUAGACUGGGACAACUAUUGGAAACGAUAGCUAAUACCGGAUAACAGUAUUUCUCGCAUGAGAGAUAUUUAAAAGUUGGUUAUGCUAACACUAUGAGAUGGCUUUGCGGUGCAUUAGCUAGUUGGUGGGGUAAAGGCCCACCAAGGCGACGAUGCAUAGCCGACCUGAGAGGGUGAUCGGCCACACUGGGACUGAGACACGGCCCAGACUCCUACGGGAGGCAGCAGUAGGGAAUCUUCCGCAAUGGGCGAAAGCCUGACGGAGCAACGCCGCGUGAGUGAAGAAGGAUUUCGGUUCGUAAAGCUCUGUUGUUAGGGAAGAAUGGAUAUGUAGUAACUAUACAUGUAAGAGACGGUACCUAACCAGAAAGCCACGGCUAACUACGUG